Molecule: long non-coding RNA, 2277 nt
Organism: Columba livia (rock pigeon)
Lineage: Eukaryota; Metazoa; Chordata; Aves; Columbiformes; Columbidae
Exons: 3
Source: RefSeq, a predicted model, not a curated record
CCCUGGGGUUCCCCCUGCCGCCCAGCCCCGUGCCACAGUGCCCUGUCCCAGGGCAGCCUGUCCCCAGCAUGGACGCUGGGCUGGGCUGGUGAGGGUGCGGUGCCACAGGAGCCGGGUGGCAGCCCCUGGCAGCGUUUGUCCCCGGGCUGCUUGCAGCCGUGCCCAGGGCUGUGGCUCUGCCGCUCCCCGGCUGCACCUCGGCUUUCAGCCCCCAGUCUGGAGAGACGUGCUCAGGAAAUGUGCGCUCGGGAGAACAGGGAUGUUCGUGCUCUCGUCCUGCAGCCCUGCUCCCCUCGCUUGAGCCGCAGGUCCCCAGCCUGCAGGAACAUGCAGGGGUAGCACUGGUGCAGCCUUUCCCAGGGUCUUGUCCACCAGAAGCACGGACAGUCGCUUUUGGGGUUCCAAAUUUUAGCCCUUCCUCUGGGAUGUGGAAACUUCUCUGACCUGUGCUUGAUUCCAGGCUAUGGCGCUGGCGGCGCUUAUCGAGCUGCUCAGCUGGACCCUGGUUAUGAGCCUUGGGGGCGUCCCAGACGUAAGUUGCCAAUGUCUGUCUGCUUGAGGGAAUAACACUUCUGUUUUAAGAGGUUAUUCGUGUGCAAUUUUACCAAACCUCCUCUUCAGGACUUGCAAGACCUUUUUGUGCCUUGGGGCUGUUGCACAGCUAAGUAAUGAAUAUUUCUUGACCGCAGGAGCUGCCAGGUCUCAGCAAAAAGGUCACCCGUGUUUCCUAUUAGCUGAGGGCACCUCCCCCUUUCCACGUGUCCCGUGUAAUUGCCGCAGCCCCUUCCAGUCAGCGCAGGUGACUAAGAAGUAGAUCACAACGCACCCUGGAAACUCCUUCCCUGUGCUGGAUUCCCUGUUUGGUUCCUGCAGUUGGUGGUGAUGAAGCCACUUGGUGGAAUCCGAGCCUGGGGGAUAUCCCGGGGAUAAGUGUUCAGUCUUCAUUGGUUCCUGGCCUUUUGCAUUUGUUAAUAUGUGAUUUACUAUUUGUUAACAUUUCGUUGGGAUAAUUGCGCCUUGCAAUAGCCAGCAGGCUCUUCUCCUCAAGCAUCGUGCAUCAUCAUGUUUCCCUCUGGUGCUCCGUGCUCCCACUUCUGUGUGGGCUUCCUUGAGUGUGUGUGAGGGGUCUCCUGGCCAGAAGGCCCAGAGAGGCCCCAUGUUUGUCCCUCUGCGCCUUGAGGGGUGUUGCUCAUGGCCUGGAGACAGUGGUUUGGAAGCUGUCAGGUCCCAGCCAAGAGGUCCCCAGGCCCCUGUGCAGCUUUGGCCAUCUCAGCCUGCUUCUGGCUCCCAUGUUGUUUCCUGACGCCCUUCCAGUCACUGCAGGUCACCGAGGAAGAGGCCGAUCACAACGUGCAAUGGAAACGCUUUUCAUUUCUGCUUGAUUGCAGCUGUCCCUGUAGGCAGCAGCUACUUGACUUCUCAGCUGGAGCCUGUCCGUGAGCCUCUGGAGGAUCCCACGGGUAUGUCCCCUGAAGGAAUGAGCACUUCCACGUUAGUUUUCCGUUCCGGUGCAAUUUAGCUUGCUCCUUUGUUGGCCGAUGCUGGGGCCCGCAGCAGAGCAGUGUGUGGGUCCGGCUCACUGCUGUGCGCGGGGGGCUCUGAAUGACACAUUGAUUGCACUAGAUGCACUCCCAAAAGCCCAGGCUGUGUUUCUAAGCUCUAUGACCGUGUUUGGAGAGUACUGGCUCCUGAAGUACAGUGUUCCUGAUGAGGAUGUUACUUCUCAUGAAACCGUCCUGCUUUCUUUCCAAAGAGAUGGACUACGAGACUGAGCAGAAGACCUUUCCGAGGGGAAGCAGUCACUCAGUGCCAGCGUCAGAUGAAGAAACGGAGACAAUGGCAGCCACUGGCACGCCAGGGGCGGGCGCUGGGACAAAGGCUGAGGCUGCCGCUCUGGAGGGUCUGCGCGAGCACUACAUCCCCGUGACUGCAGCGGUCCUGGCUGUGCCGCUGUUUGCUGUAGUGGCGGCUUGCAUCGUCAUCUCACGGCUGAGGAAGAGAGCCCCGAGGAGCCAGGGAGACGAAGCAGCAGCAGAACAAGUCGACGCUGCCUCUGCCUGGAAAAGGGAAGAUCAAACUAAAGAUCAAGGCCAAGCAGAGUCAGGAGAAGAAACACAAAAGGGAGAGACUACCCAGGAAAGCGAGCUUUUCUGCAACAGCUCCAGCCCAUCCCCGUGGAUCUUUGCAGUUGAGCUCGCCCAGCUGUACAGGAACAUGAGCGCAGACGCCUCAGCUCUGCCCGUUCCCAGCUGCUCUCUCCCUCGUGGGGCCUCUUCA